GGAAAAGAAACCAACAGGGAUUGCCCUAGUAACGGCGAGUGAAGCGGCAACAGCUCAAAUUUGAAAUCUGGCCCCUUUGGGGUCCGAGUUGUAAUUUGCAGAGGGUGCUUUGGCGUUGGCUGUGGUCUAAGUUCCUUGGAACAGGACGUCACAGAGGGUGAGAAUCCCGUACGUGGCCGCCAGCCUCCGCCGUGUAAAGCCCCUUCGACGAGUCGAGUUGUUUGGGAAUGCAGCUCUAAAUGGGAGGUAAAUUUCUUCUAAAGCUAAAUAUCUGCCAGAGACCGAUAGCGCACAAGUAGAGUGAUCGAAAGAUGAAAAGCACUUUGGAAAGAGAGUCAAAAAGCACGUGAAAUUGUUGAAAGGGAAGCGCUUGCAGCUAGACGUGCCUUGGGUUGAUCAGCCGGGCUUCUGCCCGGUGCACUCUUCCUCUGGCAGGCCAGCAUCAGUUUGGGCGGCUGGAUAAAGGUCUGUUAAACGUGACUCCCCUCGGGGAGAGCUUAUAGGGCAGACGACAUGCAGCCAGCCUGGACUGAGGUCCGCGCAUCUGCUAGGAUGCUGGCGUAAUAGCUGUAAGCGGCCC
Molecule: ribosomal RNA, 580 nt
Filed under: Alpestrisphaeria sp.
Lineage: Eukaryota; Fungi; Ascomycota; Dothideomycetes; Pleosporales; Lophiostomataceae
Description: partial large subunit ribosomal RNA
Rfam family: Eukaryotic large subunit ribosomal RNA
Source: RNAcentral